Molecule: transfer RNA, 87 nt
Filed under: Roseimaritima ulvae
Lineage: Bacteria; Pseudomonadati; Planctomycetota; Planctomycetia; Pirellulales; Pirellulaceae
Description: tRNA-Leu
Rfam family: tRNA
About the family: Transfer RNA (tRNA) molecules are approximately 80 nucleotides in length. Their secondary structure includes four short double-helical elements and three loops (D, anti-codon, and T loops).
Source: RNAcentral
GCCCAGGUGGUGGAAUUGGCAGACACAGGGGACUUAAAAUCCCCCGGACGAUUACGUCCUUGCGGGUUCGAGUCCCGCCCUGGGUAC